This 1758-nucleotide long non-coding RNA is filed under the name Homo sapiens (human). RNAcentral describes it as "HSALNT0404548". Lineage: Eukaryota; Metazoa; Chordata; Mammalia; Primates; Hominidae. The record is from RNAcentral.
GGACUGUGUUAGGGCCAUAGGAGAGUGGUCACCCCAGUUUACUCACAGAAGGAACAGGAACAAGCCCCUCACUAAGCAGCGUGCAUCUGUGCUGUGGCUGCCACACAAAGGAUGGCACACAGGGCUGAUCGCCUGCACAGCUCUGGAGCCCAGUAGCCUGGAUCAGGCUGGGGCAGGGUUUCUCCGAAGGCUCCAGAGGAGGACGCUUCCUCGACUCAUCAGCUUCUGGUGGCUGCACGUGCUCCCCGUGACCUGUGGCCAUGUCGCUCCAGUGUCCGACUCUCCCAGUAUCUGUCUCCUGGUAAGGAUCCUAGUCACACUGGAGCAGGGCCCGCCUCACUCCAGGAUGAUCUCAGCUUGACUUGAUGACUGCAAAGACUCUGUUUCCAGGUGAACGUUUGUCCAGGCCUCAGGCGCUGCCGCCACGUCAUUCCUAGCUGCUGUGGCAAAGCCAGAAGUCAGGCAGCAUUCACGUCCAGCCAGGACUUUCUUUACGGGGUGGGAAGCUGCUGCUAGGUCAGGUUGUCUUCAGCCUGCACAGCACGUCCCUGGGAGGCUUCCAGCUCUCAGGACCUGAGAACUCAUCACCGUCCUGAGGGCCCUAAAGAGUUUGGGGUAUGGUGGGAGAGAGGCUCUGAUAAAAGUGUGUUUAAGCUAAGUGCAUAAUAAAAAUAUUUAUGCGAUAAGUUUCAUAACAAAACAGAAGAUCCUACCUUUGAAAGUAAUAUUCGAAAUAAUUUAAUAUUUAAUAGAUUUAAUAUAAACUGGAUCAUUUGCAAUUAAAAAGACAGAAGCGCAGCCCUGCUCCACAGUGGUAGAUCCUGACAUGGGUAACCAACUGGCCGAGCUAGGGGACUGAGGACUCCUGUCCAGGGGACCUACCGUCAGGCCACAAACCAGGCGACGGCAAAAACGAGAAACGAACUCGGCUUCCAAAAGCCCCCAUUGUGUCCAAGGCUACAAAGGAUAAUCUUGUACUCAUUUGGAGUUUCUGUCAACAUCUGCUCCCUCGUCCACGAGGAACCUGCCAUGUGGAGUCACGGAGCCAGGCCUCGGCCUCCAGCCUGGAGGUUGGGGAAGGAGUUACUCUGACUUCCCGCUGCUGCCUGUUGUGAUGUUAGCGCCCUCCCCACAGUGCCGGUCCCCUGCCAAGUCCCCUGAGCUACUUCUGGAAAAGGAGUGCGCUUGGUGUGAUCGCCCUUACCUUGUUCUAAGCCACUGACUCUGAUGUGCAGCGGGUUUUGUGUUUAAGGCGUGGAGAAACAUUAAAAUCGGGGUUUUGACAGGAGUGUGCUUCAUAAACGCUCCGCGGGAGAGGCCCAUUCCCCUUCCAGCCCGAAUCCAGGGCAUCACUCACCACCUGUUCUCGCCAAUGUCCACUCUGCCCACAGAUGGUGAGCCUGCCUCACCCCAUGCAGCCCUGCAGAGGCUGGCGCGGACGCUGACCUGACCUCCCAUGGUCAGCCCCUGCCUCAUGAAUGGCUCUUGCCCCCUGGUCGGCUCCUGCCCCGUGGAUGGCUCCUGCCCCUCCACCCCAUGGCUCCUGGCCCCUGGUCGGCUCCUGCCUCUCCACCCCAUGGCUCCUGUCCCUCCACCCCAUGGCUCCUGGCCCCUGGUCGGCUCCUGCCCCGUGGAUGGCUCCUGCCCCUCCACCCCAUGGCUCCUGACCCUGGUCAGCUCCUGCCCCAGGACAGCUCCUGCAGGUGUUGCUCGGCGAGCACGGCUGAAGGAUGCCUGGCCUGGCAGGACUCUGAGGAC